UGCGUAGGCGGCCUGGUAAGUCUGGCGUGAAAGCCCAGGGCUCAGCCCUGGAAGUGCGCUAGAAACUGCAAGGCUAGAGUGCCGGAGGGGAGAGUGGAAUUCCUGGUGUAGCGGUGAAAUGCGUAGAUAUCAGGAGGAAUACCGGUGGCGAAAGCGACUCUCUGGACGGCAACUGACGCUGAGGCAAGCUGGGGAGCAAACA
This 202-nucleotide ribosomal RNA is filed under the name uncultured bacterium. RNAcentral's name for it is "partial 16S ribosomal RNA". It matches the Rfam family "Bacterial small subunit ribosomal RNA", at positions 568 to 774 of the family's 1533-position model. The record is from RNAcentral.